ACAGAGGUCUCUAGCGUUGUUCGGAUUUACUGGGCGUAAAGGGAGCGUAGGCGGUCCGGUGUGUUGAAUGUGAAAUCCCACAACUCAACUGUGGAAAUGCAUUCAAAACUGCCGGGCUAGAGUACUGGAGAGGAGAGCGGAACUCCUGGUGUAGCGGUGGAAUGCGUAGAUAUCAGGAAGAACACCGGUGGCGAAGGCGGCUCUCUGGACAGAUACUGACGCUGAGGCUCUAAAGUUAGGGGAGCAAACAG
RNAcentral lists this ribosomal RNA (251 nucleotides) under uncultured bacterium. RNAcentral's name for it is "partial 16S ribosomal RNA". It matches the Rfam family "Bacterial small subunit ribosomal RNA", at positions 525 to 775 of the family's 1533-position model. The record is from RNAcentral.